Molecule: transfer RNA, 71 nt
Filed under: Anatilimnocola aggregata
Lineage: Bacteria; Pseudomonadati; Planctomycetota; Planctomycetia; Pirellulales; Pirellulaceae
Description: Planctomycetes bacterium ETA_A8 tRNA-Trp
Source: RNAcentral
ACGAGCGUGCUCCUGGGAGAGCAAGCAGCCUCCAAAACUGCGGCACGGGGUUCAAAUCCUCGCACUCGUGC